GCCGCCGCGCUGCGCUCCCCCCGGCCGGCCGCCUCUGCCGCUGUGCUCGGGCAGUCCCGAGCAGCCGUCGCUCCGCGCCCCCGCAGCUGUGCGGAAAUAGCUCCCCUCUCCCCCGUGCGCCGCUUCUGCUGGGGCUCUUAACGAGCGUGUGCAACGUUUUUACCUUCACCGACUUUCUUCACGUACACUGGGCAUCCACAAACUACUGCUGUGGUCUUGCGUGGUGCACCGUGUGCAGGCUGCUGAAGUACGCUGACUCGCAGAACGUGACGACAGACUCUGCUGAUGGCUGUCCCCUUGCACAGUAUCUUAUAUUGGAAAGAGAAGAGCCCAAGGAAUCGGCGACAGUCUCCCAGAUGACCCGUGCUCACUGAAGUCAGCAUUGCAGCUGGAAUGGAUCUUGGUGCAAGCAAAGGCAGGGAGGCUGGAAGAGUUGCAAGCACCCUAAUUCUCUGUGUAGUU
RNAcentral lists this long non-coding RNA (462 nucleotides) under Struthio camelus australis. RNAcentral describes it as "lncRNA (ENSSCUG00000010452.1)". Lineage: Eukaryota; Metazoa; Chordata; Aves; Struthioniformes; Struthionidae. The record is from RNAcentral.